RNAcentral lists this unclassified non-coding RNA (230 nucleotides) under plant metagenome. RNAcentral describes it as "partial contains small subunit ribosomal RNA, internal transcribed spacer 1, and 5.8S ribosomal RNA". The record is from RNAcentral.
UCUCCGUAGGUGAACCUGCGGAGGGAUCAUUACAAAGAUCUCGCCCUACCGGCUAGCUCACCUACCCACUGUUAUGGUAACUGUCGUUUCUUUGCCGGGUGGCCGGGUCCCCGGCCGCUGGCUUCUAAUCGGCGGCGCGCUCACGCCAGAGGUCUUCGAACCCUGAAUGUUAGUGUCGUCUGAGUACCAUAUAACAGUUAAAACUUUCAACGACGGAUCUCUUGGUUCUG